CCGGAAGAGGCGGAGCCUACAUGAGCACCUUAGGCUUGCACACGCUGGGCCACUUCCUUUCCGGGCAGCGCGGUGGAGCGUAAGCAUGUUGAGCUACGUGGCGGGGAGCGGAGGCCGUGGGCUGCGGAACCCGGCGUGUCCUCCGGCUCUUCCAGGUGCAACAAAACCUGUCUCUUUUGAGGGUGCUUGAGCAAAUGUUUUUGAAACUUGUCCUGUCCUGGAAAGUGAUUGGAACAAGCUGCCAGAACUACGGUUACCAAUAACAAGCAUGUAGGUAGCUGCAGUGAACGUCCAACUUCGGGAGCUGUGAUGUUUAAUCCUCGUUGUUUUGGGUCCAGCACACAGUUUGGAAUGUAAAAUGAAGACUUGGUCAAGAAACCAUGAAGGGGGGGGCCUGGAGAGAUGGCUCAGUGGUUGAGCAUCGACUGCUCUUCCUGAGUUCAAAUCCCAGCAACCACAUGGUGGCUCAACAACCAUCUGUAAUGAGAUCUGAUGCCUUCUGGUGUGUCUGAAGACAGCUACAGUGUACUCAUAUAUAAUAAGUAAAAUAUUAAAAAAAACCAUGAACGGAAGCAAAUGGUGAAAAUUAGUAUUUAAUUUGGUAUCAAUAUGUUAUGUAGAAAUAAACGAUUUUAAUUGCUAUGAGCAUUAGUUUCUUUAAAAUGCGUGUCUUUAAAACACCAUUCUCAUAGUAAAAUAAACCUCAUCCUUCAUGAGCUGCAGACUUCAUUUACUUUUUGUCAACACAAGCAAUCCUGAUGGCCAGUACACCAAUACACCGUGGGGAAGAAAGUGACUAGACCACUUGAGAACUCUUAAGACUGGUUUUCCUCUGGUGAAGACUUGGCAAAGUCUUUAACCACUAGAAUCCCUAAGUUUAGUAAAUAGCUUAAAAAUUGAGCAACAUGGUAAUGACUUGGGGCUUGCAAGGGGUGGGGAAGUGGUUUCUUAGCUGGCACAGAACUCUGGAUUUGAUUCCCUGAUAGGAAUUCCUAAUGUUAGACUUGCCAGUUGUGGCUGUUUUUGCUCUUUAAGAAUUGUUUUGUUCUUCAUAGAGACCUAGAUUUAGCCACAUCACGAAAAAGGACAAAACAGGUCUUAAUUUGUAUGUACUAUAUCAUUAACUUGCUGUUGAGAGCAGGUACCUAAAAGUACCAAGUGCUGUGUGACCCUGGAGUAGUAGCACCUCCUGACAAAAAGACGACAUGCCCCCGUCACUUUCAUUAUAUGUAGCAGGAGGAUAUAGAGGAUUCCCACAUCUGGCCUUAUAAAGUAACACCCAUAAUGCACGUGUCAAAGGCCUCACAGAUAUUUGGGUCAUUAAGUUGCAGUGAUAUGAACUCAUCACUGGUAAAUUUUAACAAGCGUAAUCUGGUUAUGUAUGUAAAGCAUUGCUACCUGAUGGGUGGGAUGGACAGAACCUUUUUCAUACUGUACUGUAUGUAUAUAUAUAUGGGUGACCAGGAAGUUUCUGGUGUGAAGCUCCUUGGUAACAUUGGUUUUGGAUGUUGGGUUAUUUGCAUAUUUGUAAUAAUGAAGGGGGCCACAUUUCAUACCCUCAGUGGCAUUCUAUCCAAUAACUGAGAUGAUACAUCUGGACCCUUACGCCAAAACCACUCCCAUUUACAAAGGUUUGUGGAGGCCUGGGAAGUAACUCUAACUUGCUUAUUCGUCACUAGAAAGGACAGCUGUCCCGGGUCCACAUGUGGCAAUGAAGUGUUGGAGCUGCUGUUGGCACUGAGUCAGGUAGAGAUCUCUCUGCUCUAAGUAGUCCUCAUCAUACAGCUCAAAUGGAAAUAGUGCGUUGGGAGCAACACAAAACGCGGUGGCCCCUAAACGAACAAAAUACAGUGUGAACAACAUUAAAAAUGGAGUACAUUUCAACAAAAUAAGGUAAAAGUAACUCCUAGAUACUGGGUUUCAUCAUUUAAGUUUUAUUUUGGUAGCCCUUCAUUUGGAGUCGUCUUGGCUGGCUUGCCUCUGCCUCAGUGCUGUGGCUAAAGGUGGGAAUUAUCACAUGUAGCUGAUUUAAGUAUAUUUUAAAUAUAAGAUUAUCUUUGUCACCCAACCAGGUUCUAGGUCCCUCUCAGGCCCAUCCCUUAUGCGCUCUGUAUUAUGGGAUCCUCACCUCUGACCACCCUCCCACACUCAGGACCAGGCUGCUCUCCACUACAAACCUGUGCCACAUAAGUGUUGAUGACUUUGUCUAUCAUGAGUGCUUUAGUAUUACAUUUGAGGAAAGCCGUCCUCAACACUCAGUUGUCUAUGGGCUGUUUCCAUAAGCACACUUGUCCAAUCCUCAUUUCUACUCUAGCUCCAAGCAGCACUACAGACCUCUGGCUUAGAUGCAAGUGUGUCUCCAUAGCCUGUGUCCUGUGUCCACUCACUUUGGAAACCCUUUCUUGGCUUCUGGAACACCCUACCUUUCUUCCUAUAUCCUAGUUUUGAAAUUUCAUAAUUUUUUUCCGACCUAUUUCUAAACACUGGAAUUCUUCAAAGACAGUUAUGUAAUUAUAUUUUAGGUAGUUUCAUCCACUUGACUUAAAAUGCCAUCUCUGUUCUAAUUUUUAUAUUUCCAGUUUAAAACUCUGUAAGAUUCAGAUUAUUCUGUGUGUGUUUAUAGCUUGAUCAGCAAUGAUUCAUUCACCCUGGAUAAAGCACCUAAUGCUCACCACAGUGCCCAGUGUAUGUGCUCUCACCCUUCAGGGUGAACAACCCUACAGGACUCCCUUUACUCCUAGUUUGUAAAUCUUACUGUAAUUCUUCAGAGCACUUUCUGUUGUUCAGCUGACCCACAUACUGUGUUUUGUCCUUUGUUUCUCCCUUUCUGCGUACACUUUGAGCAAUAUCUUAUGAGGUUUUUGUUUCUCUAUCUAAUAUUGUAUGGACUUUUCCAUUAUUAGCAAUUUAUGAUAUGUAUAUGUAUAUAUAUACACAAACUUUUAUAUAAAUAUAUACAUAUAAAACUUGUUUCCCUUUCUACCAUAUUUUUACUUUAUCUGCUCUUAAAAAUAAGAUUCAAUAUUUUUAGCCUUUUUUUUUAAAUCUGACUUUUUAAAGUUUGCUUUGACUUGAUUCACAAAUGGGAAAUCUUUCCCUUUUUAAGGAAACCCUUGAUUUGAUGUUUUAACUCCUCUCCAUUCUUUGUUCUUUUCCCUUACAUUUAUUUGCGCUUGCUUGUUUUCUGUUGUUUUUCUUUGCUUGCCUUCUAUUUUAUCUCACUCUGCUCUUCACAAUUAUGGGGGAAGCAGUGUGAGGACACGGGUGUGGGGCAAGCAAUAUAUGUUAUAUAAAAUAAUGGGACAAAUAAUGGGACAAAUAACAUACUGUUUAGUAUUUGUUGGAACCAGUUUUUAAACCGGUUCAGGAUGACAAUCAUUUAUCUCUACAAUCUAUUUCGUAAAAUUUACAGUCUUGUCUCCUUUAGAAAGGACACCCACAAAUCUGUAUAUGAUAAUUUACAAUCCUGAAUCCUUGGCUUGGAGUUGAACGAACAGCUCAGUGUCAAGAACCCUUGCUGCUUUUCCAAAGAAUAGGUACUUGGGAGGUUAAGGCUUGACAGCAAGUCAAGGGUGAGCCUGGGCCCUGUGCUGAGGCUGUUUCACAAAUGCUCCAAAUAGAAAUCUGCAUAAGAAGGUGUUCAUUAACAGAUGACACUGCCACCAGCACAGUCGCAUAUCCCUGAGAUCCCAGCGCUUAGAGACUUCACAACCAGCCUGGGCUACAUGGCCUUGAACAAACAGUAAAUGUUCAAAUUCAAAUAAGACAUAUCCAAUAACAAUAAAGAUUAAUUAUUUUGAAGUAUUUAAAAGGUAAUAAUUUAAUAAGCUAAGAGAUUCAGGAGCAUUACUAAUUUAGUGCAUUACCAUAUUUCAAUGUGAGGGAUAUUUCGAACAAUAAGGCUGCAAUUAGUACAUCUUCUCUGAGCACUUUAUUCCUUAAGUUCAGUCGAGCGUGAGCUUCAGAUAAAGAAACUCUUAAAGAAAAACAGGGUAGUAAAAAUGUUAUACAUAUUUAAACAAGACAAACCAAGAUAUGACAUGAGCUACGUGUUAAAAGAUCUCAUGCUAUUUUUUUUCUUUUAAGCUAUUUCUUUCCCACAAUCUUAAAUAAAUUGUCAGAAGAAGCAGAUACCCUGACUUACAAAAAGGGGAGGGGCUAAUACUUAGCACUCCACGUCCCCUGCUCCAAGUUCUGCUCCAGUAAAUACACAGACGGGGGAAACAAGCCUGACUGAACAUCUCUUACAAACAUAUAAGAUACAUAGAGAUAGAUCCUUGGCUCCUCUGUCAACUCAUUUGUCUAAAGUCCUCAUGGGACCUUGCAAUUCAAAUUUCUUGAUACAUAAGGGAAUUCUGUCCACAGCAUCCUGAACUCAUUACCUCAUCCCCUUUGAACAUACGCUACUACUCACUACUCAUCUCUUUAAACAUGGAAACUUUUUUACCUGAGGUAGCUUUCAGCUUUCAUAGGCAGGUGUGAGGUUCUUAAGUGACUGUUGGACACUUGACAUUCAGGGAACUGAAACUGAGUCUGUAGACUUGACUGACUGACUGACUUUGGCAAUAAUUUGUGUGUGUGUAUAUAUGUAUGUAUAAAGGGAGGAUAGGAUACUGAGUGAGAUAAACUUUACCUACAAAGUUUAAAAUCUGGGCUGAAAUUACUGUCCCUGAAAUUACUUCCACCCACUGGUCUUGUUCUAUCUGCGGGGACUGAGGUCAAAAUGUGACACCUCUUCAAAUGUUAUUUUCACAGUUGGCUCAAGGCUUAUUUUUUCCAACGUAAAUAUUCCUUGUAUCUGUAAUGGCAGGAGGACUAGUGGUGCGGCUCAAAGAUUUAAGGCCCUGGGUUCCAGCCUAAGCUACACACACAUGCACAUACACAGUGUCAUGAAACAUAAAUUUGCUACCAGGUUGGCAGUGAACUCACAGACAUCCACCUACCUCUGCCUUCUGAAUGCUGGGAUUUAAAGUGUGUGCCACCAUAUAUGGUGAAACAUAACUUUCCUUUCCUUAAUAGUCUAGCUCUUUUCCUUAUGACCUGAUUUGGUCAACCUUUAGAAUACAGUGCUGGGUGUUUCAUUUCACUGUCAGAGUGGAGACAGGAGUUCACAUUUUCUUGCUCUUAAUACAUGUUCUAUUAAUACAACCUAAAUCUCAAAAUGAUAAAUCACUUUACAUGUUUGUUCACAUUAAUCAUGAACAGAAUGAAAUCUCACACCUUUCUCAUUAGGUGGCGCCACUCUCUUCCCACAAGCCACACUUGUACCAGGAAGCUUGGGAACCUUGUUGGAGACUUUACAUUUAUUCUAUUAACCUUUUGCUAGGUCAAGAUCAUAAUUCAACUCUGUGAACGUCUCUCAAUGUAACAUAUUUGAUUAUUGUAACCCUAAAAAGAAUCUUGAAAAAUAUGUGUGGAACCUUCAUAAUAGGAGAGAGGAAUGAAUAUUCUGUAGAGGAGAAUUAGGCUGUAGUAAGUGUUCUUUUCCUGGUUCAUCCAUAAACCCAUAUCCACUCUCAGGAUUGUCCAUGUAAGAUACAAAGGUAGAGUUACAUUAAAAUUAAAGUACAGAGUAUCUUAUGACAGACGAAAUGCAACCUGAGAUAGUGGAACUUUCAAAUCUGAUGCAGUGUAGUUUUGUCUGAGUAUUAUAAAUAUGACUUGACUUUAUUACAUAACUCUGAGUAGUACUUAGAAAUUUUCAUUAAGGAGUUGAUUUUUACCCUGGCUUGUCUUCUCCAUUUUCAGUUUUAUUUAAUCAUAUACUUGAGGAAAGUAUUUCAACAUAUCUAUCCCUGUAGACCCAUACUAGGAGCUUUCUACACACUUAAUUGUUUAUCGAAUUUUUUACUCUUUAUCUUAAGAAUUUGAGAUUAUAUUUUACUAUAUCAAAUGGCUGUAAGUGAGGGACUAUAAACUAUGACAGAGCCAUACCAUAAUAUCACAUAACACAACACAGUGACACUGUGAUAUGGCUAUUAAAGUAGAUAAUUCUCUGUUCUGUGUGUAUAAUUCCAUUUGGGAAAACAGAAUAUUAUCAAUAUAAAAUAUAUUUGUUUGCUUAUGUAUAUGUUUAACAUACUGACUUAAAUAAAUAUAACAUUCAAAACUAGAGACAUGCUUCAGAGGUUAAGAGCACUGACUGCUUUUAUAUCUAUCUAUCUAUCUAUCUAUAUAUAUAUAUACAUAUAUAUAUGUACACACACACACACACACACACACACACAUCACUUAAAAGAUGGUCCAGUAAGUAUUGGUAAAGGGCUUAUUCCACAAGCACCAGGACCUAAGCUCAGUCCCCGGCACCCACAUGAAAAAGUGGGGUACAGCUGUGAGAGCCUGCAGUGCCGGUGCUAAAGAAGGCAGAAAGGAGUAUCCCUGGGGUUGCUCAGCAGCUAGUCUAGUCCAGUAAGUGAGCACCAAGUUCAGAUAAGAUGGAGAGUCAUUGAAGAAGUCACCUGAUUGCAACUAUCGGCCUUCUUGCCCCUCACACAUAUGCAUGUUUAUACUUCCACAGAUAUGUACACAUAUACUUGCAAAAGCCAACAUGUACACACAAAUGUAUAUACGCGUUUAUAUAUCUAGGGAGAUAGGGCAGUGGAUAAAGUGCUUGCUGUACAAACACAAAAACCCGUGUUCAAUUCCCAGAACAGUGUAAAAAGCUGAGUCUGGUGGUAUAUGACUUAAUUCCAAACAGCAGGGAGUCAGAGACAGGCAGAUCCCAGGGGAUCCCUGGCCAGGCAACUCCUUGGUGAGCUACAGGCCAGGAAAAGAUCCUGUCUCAAAAGCAAGGUGGUUGGUUUAUCAGGAGUGACAGCUGAGGUAGAUCCCUGGCUCCUACAUGCCUGGGUACCCCCUCCCCCAACACACACACACAUGAAACAAUGUAUAUGUAUAUAUGAUGAUACCUAUUUGGUGUUACUUUUUAUUUGCGAUCAGGCACAGGCUGGCUAAUCUUAAGCUUACUCUGAGUCAUGAUGAUUUUGAACUUCUAAUACUCCUGCCUCUAAUCUCUUUGUUUUGAGACCAGGUUUCUCUCUAUAGCCCUGGCUGUCCUGGAACUCACUCUGUAGACCAGGCUGUCCUGGAACUCACUCUGUAGACCAGGCUGGCCUGGAACUCAGAGCUUGGCCUGCUCUGCCUCCUGAGCAUCAGUGUGCACCACCCCCGCCUGCUGCCCCCACCUACUUUAUGUAAGACUGUGGAUUGAACUGAUAAACUUGUGCAUGAUCAGCAAAUACUCUAUCAACCGAGCUGCAUCUUCAAUCUGUGCUGAUAUCUGAAUUGAUAAUUUCUGGAUGUAACAUUAAAACUGUUAACAGUGUGAUUACCUCUGGGGACAUGGGCAGGAAUACACAGUGUUAGGAAGAUGCAUUAAUCAUUUUAGAUUCUGUGAUGUCCAUAAUUUCUUUUAUAACAUGAACUAUUCAUUAUUUAUUUCUCAAAAUAAUAACAAUGCAUUUAUUAAUGCGUUUUGAAGUAUAAGGAACAGGGCUGGGAAUAUGUCUUACUGGUAGAGUGCUUGCCUUGCACACAAAAGUCUUGUGUUCAAUUCUUUUUUUUUUUUUUUUUUUUUGGUUCUUUUUUUUUUUCCGGAGCUGGGGACCGAACCCAGGGCCUUGCGCUUCCUAGGUAAGCGCUCUACCACUGAGCUAAAUCCCCAGCCCCUUGUGUUCAAUUCUUGACACUACACUAUAUACAUAAAUGAAAAGAAAUUCAAGGAUCAAUGCAGUAUCUCUAUUGGGAGGAAGAGUAGAGGAAUUCAAAAGGAGGGAAUGGAGGUGGAUUGGAUCUAAACACAGUCUAUGCACAUAUGAAGAUUAAAUAAAUUACUUAAUAGGAAAGUUUCUUUAGGCCCAACUACAACAUACUUGGAACCCAAACAGCCACCUUAAAAAGCAAUCAUUUGCAUUAAAAUCUGUGUACUUUUCUCAGGCCUGUCUCAUACGGAAGAUCUGAUAAAAAUAAUGUAGGGAAAAGAAUUCUUAGUGGUCUCAAUGACUUAAUAUAUAACGUAUAAUAUAUUAAUGACUUAAAUAUAUUAUAUAACAAAGGGGUCAUUAAGUCACCUCAAACUUUUCUGAAAUAAAGUAAAUAAUCAACCAACCAACUAUAAGUCAAACAAAAUUUAAACAAUUUUAAACAAAAUUUAAAACAAAAUUAAAAAUUUUAAACAAUUUAAACAAAAUUUAAACAAUUUUAAACAAAAUUUAAAACAAAUAUUAAGAACAAGUUAAUUAAACUCAUAUCUAAAAGUCAAUUUUGACCUUAUAGUCCUGAGUUGAAUACCUACAAAUAUUUUAAUGCAUUUGCUGACAGCUUUGAUCCAUGUAUAGAAUCUGUUCUGAUUCUGCGACUCGCUAGAUAAUAGCCAUGAAUCAUUCUUUCUGCCUCCAAACUGAAUUCCACAUUCAAAUUCUUUGCAAACGCCAGUAGCUAUGUUAAAAAUAUAAAAAAAUUUUUAGGAGAUUUAAUUUUAUUAUGGAGUCAUUAUAAUUCCAAAGUGUGCUGGCAUCUGAUUUUUAAAAGUUUCCAUAUUUUUUACAUCAAACUUAAGUAAAUACCUGGGUCAUUUCCAAGUCACUGAGCCUUUUAAGUCAUUGCCUCUGCUUGUAACAAGUAUGAGAGUUUGCCAGAAUAGCCUCUCUCACUGUGCACAAGUGUACUGUGCACCAGAACUGAACUACUGGCUGAUUUUGUGCUUCAAUGGGGGAAACUCUCACAUCUCCCAGAAGCUCAUUUCUCUCUGUCUUUGGUUUUUCAAGACAGGGUUUCCUAUGUAGUCGUAGCUGUCCUGGAACAUGCUCUGUAGAACAGGCUGUCCUUGAAUUCACAGAGAUCAGCCUGUCUCUGCCUCCCCAAUGCUGGGAUUAAAGGUGUGCACCACCACCAGCACCUGGCAUAUUUUUUUAAUGCCCAACUAAAUUCUUAUCUUUUCCUUAAAGAUUUCUGAAUUCCAUAAAUAUUUAGGAACAGCAAUACUAAGCAUUAAGUUGCCCUAAAUGUUUUAUGUGUCUUGUUUUUAUCUCAAAUAACAGACUAGUGUAAAGAAAAUUGAAGUUAUAAAAUGUGAAUAACUAAACUCACAUGGCAUAGCUUCAUUUUCUAUACAAAUAGUCUUUUUUAAUAUAUUGAUCUUUUUAAAGCUAUGGGUAUUUAGGUAAUAACAGAAAUAAUAAACUUAACAUUUGGAUAUGAAAAUUUCCCUAUGGGCUGGAGAGAUGACUCAGUGGUUAAGAGCAUUGACUGCUUUUCCAGAGAUCCUGAGUUCAAUUUCCAGCAACCACAUGGUGGCUCAGAACCAUUUGCAAUGGGAUCCCAUGCCCUCUUCUGGUGUGUCUGAAGACAGCUACAGUGUACUUAUAUAUAAUAAAUAAAUCUUUUUUAAAAGUUUCCUUACAUAGCUGUUGUUUUUUCUAUACAAUGUACUUAAAAUAUGAGAAAUCUGUAAGCAAUCUUGUGUAACAGAAUAGGAACUGAGCAUGGUAGCAAAUGCCUGUAAUGUUAGCACUUCUAAGAAGUAGAAGGAUCAAGGCUGUCCUUGACUACCAUAGUGAGUUCCAAGCCAGCCUGAGCUACAUGAAACCUUGUCUCAAACAACCCCCCCCCAAAAUAAAAACAAACAAAAAAAUCAACUAGAUAAUUCUAGAAGAAGAAAAGAAUGCCAACAUAAAUUCUAUUAAAUUAAGCCAUGGGCUGGUGAGGUGACUCAGUGAGUGAAGAUGCUUGUUGCCAAGCCUGACAGCCUGAGUUUGGUCCCCAUAAGCCACAGAAGGAGGGAACUGCCUUCUACAAGGUUAUUUUAUGGUAUACACUUGGGCCCACAUACAUGCAAAAUACAUGCAUGCAUGUGUGCACAUACACACCACAUAAAUAAAUAUAAAGAUAAUAAAUAAUUAAGGAGCAAGUAGACAUCCUGAGUAAGCAUUUUGUCUAACUUUACCUUCUCAAAAUCUUCAGUUGUGAACUGUUUAGAAGCUAAAUAAGGCGGCCCCUUAGGAUCCACCGCUUUCUUUAAAGUGUGUUGCACAGUAGGAAGAAGUGGGUGGCACGGAGAAGACUCCUUGCAGUUAACCAACAAUCCAAACGCCUCUGCAAGGUUGGCUGGAAUCAAACUGCAAUCCUGUAUCAAAUACAAAGGCAGGGGAACAGCUAAUUGGAAAUAGUUAAAUACAAAUUGAUCAUUAUAUUAUUUAACUAUCUAGUGAUUAUUUCAAUAUUAACUACAGUUUAAAGUAAUUUCUGGGAAGAAAUGUCAAACUUGUGGAAAGCAACUUUUUAAGAAAGUUCUUAUUGAGUAUUUAUUAUGUAUUAUUUAUUAAAGCCUUCUAGGACUCAGGAGAUGCGUCAGUCAGUAAAGUAUGAGGAGGAGGCUGGAUUCUGUCUUCCAGAGACCAAACAGAAAGGUUUGGUGCCACAACAGGUGCCUGUAACCUUAGUGGUGGGGAGGUGGGGACAGAAAGAUCCCUUGAGCUUGCUGGCUAGACAGUCUAGCUAAAUUAGUGAGUUUCAGAGAGGGACUGUCUUAAAGACCAAGGUGGGCUGCAAUUGAGGAAGACAUCCACAUCGACCUUGAAAACACAGACACAUGGGACUUCUUAACUUUGAAACAGAAAUUUCUAUUUACUAGACAAUUUGCAUAACAUCAACAACUGGAUCAUUAUUCAGUAAUGCCUGAUAAGGUAUAUAAAUGCACCAAUGCAAAAACAUAUAAGGUGUUGCUGGGUAUAGCACUCGGCAUGCUGGCCCGUUGGAGGCCAAUCUGGGCUCUAUAUGAGCUACACCACCGCCUUGGUUACAUGGUGAAGCCUUACCUAACGAGUGAGGAAGGCAUAAGAAGGAAGAGGCUGGAAGUGGAGGGGAGUGUGAGAACAGACUAACAGUUCUCUGAGAAAGCUUUUUUUUUUUUUUUGAGACAGGGUUUCAUGUAGCCCAGGCUGGCCUCAAACUCACAGCAUAGCCGAGAACAACCUUGAAUUCUAAUCCUUCCAUGUCUGAAGCACUAGGAUUACAGGGGGCCUCCUAAACAAUGUUCUAGCAGUAAAAUAGUCAGAGCCCUUACCAUCUGACCAAUCAGAGUACUGGCUUUCUGUACAUUUCUCCUUGAAGAUGAAUCCAUAUCAACAAAAGACCAAAAACUGCAUUGAAUGGGAAAAGUCAUUUGCUGAUCGAAAUCAUCCCCAAACUUCUUUCCUGGGAUGAACACUGUGACGCUUCUGCUCUCCAAAGCUGCAUCACAAGACGUGAUCCAUGUUAAGAACGUAGAUGCUGUACAUCACAACAGCUUUUAUUGCCAACCUGUCAAGAUCUUGUUAUUCUAGUAGAUAUCUUAUAAGUCUACAAAUUAAUAACAAAUAUCAUAUGAAAUUCUACUAAAUCAGAGAAUGAAGACAAAUGAAUUUGAUUGUUUUACAAGGUUCUCCUAAAGUCAGAGCAACUACAAUAAAAAGACCGAGGUAAGACAGAUACCUGAAUGUCUGUGUUUGUGCUGUCUGAGGAUCGUCGGACCAGAGCACAGCUGGAGCUGUGGGUGGACAUCUGAGAGGAGCAGGCAGAGGACUAGGACACUCACAAAGCCUGGGUUUUCACUAACCAGGCUGGCUUCAAACUCACCAUAUAGCAGCUGAGGGCAAUCUGAACUUUCUGCUCCUCCCUCCUGCACCUCCCAAGUGCUGGGAUUAUAGUUUGUACCACCGUGCAUAGUGCAUGUGGUCAUGGAAUAGACCCCAGGGCUUUGUGCACACUAGGCACACACUAUCAACUGAGCCACGUCCCCAACUCAGGAAUGCCCCUUAUGUGCUAAAAAAAAAAAAAAAAAGUGAUAGAAAGCAGUCCAUUCAUGAGGGAAUGUGAGAGGACUGAGGAAGAAGGUAUUUCAAUUCAGCAUGUUCAAAACCAAAGCAGUCUAAGCCGCCACCCACCUAAACCCCACACAAACAGAAAGGACUGUCCUCACGUGCUUAUUUUCCCUUCAGUCUACUGAUACACUUAUUCUUAGGAGUCUGCUCCUAAGUGGAUUCAAACUGAGCUUUUGAUUCAUGUAACAGUGUUUUGUAUUCACAGGUUAGACUUCUGUCACUAUGAAAAACUGCCUUACAUAACGACUUCCGGAGAAGGUUCCUCAGACUGUGGUAGUAAAGGUUUAGUCCAUCACAGUGGGGAGCAGAGCUGCUCACAUCACCACAGAGAAAACCCACAGAAUUAUUCACAGCGAUGGAGGAGGCCUAUCUCUCUCGGCAUGCUAUGCUGGUCCACUAUUCAAAAUUAAUCAGUGUGGAGCUGGAGGGAUGCCUAAGUGGUUCAGAACCCUGGCUGCUCUUGCAGAACUGGAUUUGGUUCCCAGAACUAACAUGAUAGCUCACAACUAUCUGCAAAUCCAGUUCCAUGGGAUUCAAUGCCCUCUUCUGGUUUCUGGGAGCACCAGGCCCAAGUGGUAAAUAGACAUACAUACAAAUAAAACAUGAAUACUCGUGAAAUAGCAAAGACUCAAAGCAAAAUCAAUGUAUGCUAUGAAAAUCACAUAAUCAAAUUAAUAGAUAUAAGAAAAAAGUUCUCACAAAAUCCUAUACUGAUUCAUAAUAAAACUGCUUGGCGGACUAGGAAUAGAAGGAAACCUCUUCACCGUGGGCUUUAAGAUUAAAACAACAACAACGACAACAACAACUGCACAGCUAGCAUUUAUUACAAUUAAUGCUGAGAAACCUGGAAAUUUGGAACAACUGUUUUCCUCAUAGUUCUAAGACCAAUAACACAACGAGACAAAAAGGAACAAAAUUGGCUUAAAAUACAGUUAUAUAUCAGAACCUAGAGUAAAGGCUAAAACAAUGCACUUGCAAAUUAAAUUAUUUUAUUUCUAAAAUUGGACUGAGAACUAACAUUCAGUGUAAUUCCAUCUCCUGAGCCCCGGGCAGUACUAUCUCAGCUGUUAAGUGAGUCCUCAGUACUGGUGAAGCAGGAGGUUAAACAGGUGGAAAGAUUGAGAAAGCAUUGUUUACCUGACUGGAGCUGUUCCAGUUUAUCCUUUUUGUGUGAUGUUAGGUCUCCUAUGAAGCAGACACCACCCCUAGCAAGCAAAGCACUGCCAGCUUGAAUGCUUACUGCUCCAGUUCCAUAUUUAUCUCUGGACACAGUAGGAAAAACUUCAGUACAGACAGGAUGACGUAUGCCACGGGACACAAGGUUCAUGCUAAAAUUCAAAAGUCUAGGGAAAGUAAGUUAUUCAGAUAUUUAAUGAUGACAUCAUUAAUGUGAACGACAUGUUUAAAUUUAACUUGGCCAGUGUCUACCAAGCACUACAUAUACCUGGUGUUUUAUUUGAAGAGCUUACAGCAUAGACAGAGUUAGAGAAACAAUUUACAAUGGAAUAAUUCUAAAAUAUCUUCUUGAGAACACCACAGAGGGAAUUAUUAUUUCCUUUUAGAAAGGAAUCAGAGAAAGCCGUGGGAAGGCAACGUUUAAAUGGGAUCACUGUCUUUGUUGUUGCUGUGUUGGAGACAGGGUUUGCUUGUAUAGUCCUGGGUGUCCUGGGACUCACAAUGCAGACUUGCUGACACUGAGUUCUGUGCGCCUCUACCCCCUGAGUGCUGGGAUCAAAGGCGUGCACUGCCACUGCCUACUGGAUCAAAGUCCGCUUAUGGAUUACCUUUUCUCAUGUAUUUCAGAUUUGUUUAAUAGGUUUGUCAAUGUCCUAUCUUGACUAUUCCUGCUGUUUCUGGAUCAUGACAACUCUUGCUACACUUUCCUUUUUGCUUUUAAUAUUGUUGUUAACUGCUUCAACUUCUUUAAUUCUCAAAUUCAAAUUAUAAUAAAGAACUAUUUCUUUAGUAUUGUGGUAAAUCUGAGAUACUGUCCAAUCACUCAUGUUUUGGGGGUUGGGCAAAGUACGUGGGUCCUGGUGGUGCCUACCUGACCUAUGGUGGGAUUCACAAUAUGACAGGAGAUUUAGGAGUUAGUGGGUCACCAUGGGCAUUCCCUGAACAAACAGACUGUGUCCUCUGCCUCUUUCUGUCUGUCCCUCUGGUUCCUGUCUACCAAAGAUGCACUGUUUUUCUCUGCCAUGACGCUCUGCCUCAGUAUUGGCCUAUAGCACUGGAACAUGUAAAUGAUGGACUACAAUUGUGAGCAAAAAUAAAGCUUAGUCCUUUGAAUUGUUUCUCUUGCUUACCACAGCAAUGAAAACUGUCUAAUGUGUCUAUCUUUAAAACCCUUACCACAGAAAUUAUAACUUUCUGAUGCAACCAUCUAUGAUGAUCAGAUACAGACAUGGAAUGUAAAAGGGACUCAGGUAGUGUCCUUUAGAUGUAGACAGGAAAAUGCCAGAAAGUGUUGUCAUGUAUGCAUCAUCAUAGGACUUAGACAUUAGCCCCAGGGUAUGUAACAGAGAGGACACUGCAAAAACAACAUUUAUAGCCUGAAAUGAGCAGUGGUCUUAGCUAUAGAUCAUAUUAAAAUCAUGUAGGGAGUUUUGUUUUCUUUCAAAACAAAUUCUAAUGCCCAUUUCCUCAACUACUUAAAACAGAAUUUUUGGAGGUAGUAUACAACUUUUUAAAAAGUAUCUAAUUUUUGAGACAAGGUCUUACUAGGUUGCCUUGCCUGAUUUCAAGACUGAAUAAUCAGGACUGUGUAUGAUCCGCCUUAAGUAUAGACAAAAAUGUACAACAGAAAAUAACAUUCAAAUAGAUUUACAGUCUAGUUUAAUUUUAAACUUGGUACAAAGAAACAAUGAAAUCUUAUAACAGAUGAUGUGGAAACUACAUAGGAGAAGCAUCAACUUUCACUACACAAUACCACAUACAGACACUAACUAGAGGGCCAGGUGGACAGUUAACCCCUCAGGAUAAGGACACUUGCCCAGCAACGGGUUCAAUCCUGGAACACACUUUAAGGUACAAAGAGAUAAUUAACACCACCAAAUUGCCCUCUGACUCCUAUGUGCACUCUGCGGCAUGUGCACUCUGCGGCAUGUGCACUCUGUGGCAUGUGCACUCUGUGGCAUGUGCACUCUGCGGCAUGUGCACUCUGUGGCAUGUGCACUCUGUGGCAUGUGUACUCUGUGGCAUGUGCACUCUGCGGCAUGUGCACUCUGCGGCAUGUGCACUCUGUGGCAUGUGCACUCUGUGGCAUGUGCACUCCCCCACAACAUGGACACACACAGGAAAAAGCAUUAAACUGAAUACAGAGAAAAGACUCAACAAAAUAUAUUUCUAGGAAGAAAACAGAAUUUUCACGACUUUCAGGUAGGCAAAAAAUUCUUAACUGGAACCCAGAAAACAUGAAAAAGAGAAAAUGAAAAAUUGGAAAUAGAAAUCCUCUAAAUUGAAGUGUCUGCCCAUCACAGACACAUUUCAAAAAACUCAUAAAAGCUUUCAGAUUAGAAGCACGUGAAAGAUCUGUAUGACAAGAACUUCAAGUCUCUGAAAAAAAGAAACUGAGAUCUCAGAAGAUGGAAAGAUCUCCCACGCUCAGGGAUUGGCAGGAUUAACAUAGUAAAAAUGGCCAUCUUACCAAAAGCACUCUACAAAUGCCAACUCAAUACUUCACAGAGAUAAAAAGAGCAAUUCUCAAAUUCAUCUGGAAUAACAAAAAACCCAGGAUAGGAAAACUAUCCUCAAAAUAAGAGAACUUCUAGGAAAUCACCAUCCCUGACCUUAAGCUCUAUUACAGAACAAGAUUGAUAAAAACUGCAUGGUAUUGGUACAGAGACAGGCAGGUAGAUCAGUGGAACACAAUUGAAGACCCAGAAAUGAACCCACACACCUAUGAUCACCUGAUCAUUGACAAAGAAGCCAAAAUCAUCCAGUGGAGAAAAAGACAGCAUUUUCAACAAAUGGUGCUGGCUUAAGUGGAAGUCAGCAUCUAGAAGAAUGCAAAUUGAUCCACUCUUAUCUCCUUGUACAAAGCUCAAGUCCAAAUGGAUCAAGAACCUCCACAUAAAUUCAGAUACACUCAAACUAAUAGAAGAAAGAGUGGGGAAGAGUCUUGAACACAUGGGCACUGGGGAAUAUUUCCUGAACAAAACACCAAUGGCUUAUGCUCUAAGAUCAAGAAUCGACAAAUGAGAUCUCAUAAAAUUGCAAAGGCAAAGGACACUGUCAAUAGGACAAAAUGGCAAACAACAUAUUGGGAAAAGACCUUUACCAACUGUAUCCAUCUAAUAUAUACAAGAACUCAAGAAGUUAAGACUUCCGAGAACCAAACAAUCGUAUUGAAAACUGGAGUAUAGAGUUAAGCAGAGAAUUCUCAACUGAGGAAUCUUGCAAGACUGAGAAGUACCUAAGGAAAUACUCAACAUCCUCAGUCAACAGGGAAAUGCAAAUCAAAACAACCCUGAGAUUCCACCUCACACCAGUGAGAAUGACUAAGAUCAAAAACUCAGGCGACAGCAGAUGCUGGCGAGGAUGUGGAGAAAGAGGAACACUCCUCCAUUGUUGGUGGGAUUGCAGAUCGGUACAACCACUCUGGAAAUCAGUCUGGAGGUUCCUCAGAAAAUUGGACAUUGAACUGCCUGAGGACCCAGCUAUACCUCUCUUGGGCAUAUACCCAAAAGAUGCUCCAACAUACAACAAAGACACAGGCUCCACUAUGUUCAUAGCAGCUUUAUUUAUAAUAGCCAGAAGCUGGAAAGAACCCAGAUGCCCUUCAACAGAGGAAUGGAUUAAGAAAAAUGUGGUACAUCUACACAAUGGAGUACUACUCAGCUAUCAAAAACAAUGACUUCAUGAAAUUCAGAGGCAAAUGGAAUGAACUAGAAAAUAUCAUCCUGAGUGAAAAACAAACAUGGUAUGCACUCACUGAUAUUAGCACAAAAGCUCGAAUCACCCAAGAUAUAAUACACAGACUACAUGAAGCUCAAGAAGAAGGACAACAAAAGUGCGGAUGCUUCACUCCUUUUUUUUUUUAAAUGAAUGAUACAUUCUUUUCAUCCUAUAUAACAGCGUAGCAAUAACAAGAUCCUUCCUUGUAGCACAUAUAAAACUUCGAUGCUGUCUAACUCAAACACUGUCAGAGUACCCACUCAUUCUCAGGGUUCCCUUCUUCUCUUUUAAUGUUGUAGUUUUAAUGUUGAUUAAGCUGCUAUGCAGGGCCAUGGCAAUAAAUCAAAUAGUCAGAAGCAAUCGAUUUAAUAUAUUAACCCAUUUUUCCCUCACAAGUCAUUUGUAAUGUAACUGUUUUUCUGUGGAAUAUGUUACGCUUACCAUCUCUUUUUAAAAAAUUUUUUUUAUUAGAUAUAUUUCUUUACUUACAUUUUGUAUGAUAUUCCCUUUCCUGGUUUGCUGUCCAUAAGCCUGCAUCCCCACCUCCUUCCCCAUAUAGGUGUUUUCCCCAUCCACCUCCCUUACCGCCACCCCCAACAUUCCCCUGCAUUGGGCGGGGGGGGGGUCCAACCUUGGCAAGACCAAGGGCUUCCCCUUCCACUGGUGCCCCAACAAGGCUAUUCUCUGCUACAUAUGCAGUUAUAGCCCUGGGUCAGUCCAUGUGUAGUCUUUCAGUAGUGGUUUAAUCCCUGGAAGCUUAGGUUGGUUGGCAUUGUUGUUCUUAUGGGGUUGCAAGUCCCUUCAGUUCUUUCAAUCCUUCCUCUAAUUCCCCUAAACGGGGUCCUGUUCUCAGUUCAGUGGUUUGCUGCUGGCAUUGAUUACUGUAUUGGAUAUACUCUGGAUUUGUCUCUCAGGAGAGAUCUAUAGCCGGUCUUUCAGCAUGUACUUUUUAGCUUCAUCAAUCUUAUCUAGUUUUGGUGGCUGUAUAUAUAUAUGGGCCACAUGUGGGGCAGGCUCUGAAUGGCCGUUCCUUGAGUUGCUGGUCUAAUCUUUGCUUCCAUAUCCCCGCCUAUGGAUAUUUUCCCCCCUUUUAAAAAGGAGUGGGAGCAUCGGCAUUUUGGUCAUCCUUCUUCUUGAGCUUCCUGUGGUCUGUGGAUUGCAUUUUGGGUAAUUCAAGCUUUUGGGCUAAUAUCCACUUAUCAAUGAAUGCAUACCAAUUGUUUUUCUGUGAUUGGGUUACCUCACUCAGGAUGAUAUUUUCUAGUUCAUUCCAUUUGCCUCUGAAUUUCAUGAAGUCAUUGUUUUUGAUAGCUGAGUAGUACUCCAUUGUGUAGAUAUACCACAUUUUUCUUAAUCCAUUCCUCUGUUGAAGGGCAUCUGGGUUCUUUCCAGCUUCUGGCUAUUAUAAAUAAAGCUGCUAUGAACAUAGUGGAGCAUGUGUCUUUGUUGUAUGUUGGAGCAUCUUUUGGGUAUAUACCCAAGAGAGGUAUAGCUGGGUCAUCAGGUAGUGGAAUGUCCAAUUUUCUGAGGAACCUCCAGACUGAUUUCCAGAGUGGUUGUACCAGUUUGCAAUCCCACCAACAAUGGAGGAGUGUUCCUCUUUCUCCACAUCCUCGCCAGCAUCUGCUGUCACCUGCGUUUUUGAUCUUAGUCAUUCUCACUGGUGUGAGGUGGAAUCUCAGGGUUGCUUUGAUUUGCAUUUCCCUGUUGACUAAGGAUGUUGAACAUUUCUUUAGGUGCUUUUUGGCCAUUUGAUAUUCCUCAGCUGAGAACGUUUUGUUUAGCUCUGUACCACAUUUUUUUUAAUGGGGUUAUUUGGCUCUCUUAAGUCUAACUUUUUGAGUUCUUUGUAUAUUUUGAAUAUUAGCCCUCUAUCAGUUGAAGGAUUGGUAAAGAUCUUUUCCCAAUCUGUUGGUUGCUGUUUUGUCCUAAUGACAGUGUCUUUUACCUAACAGAAGCUUUGCAGUUUUAUGAGGUCCCAUUUGUCGAUUCUUGAUCUUAGAGCAAAUGCCAUUGGUGUUUUGUUCAGGAAAAUUUCCCCAGUGCUCAUGUGUUCAAGACUCUUCACCACUCUUUCUUCUCUUAGUUUGAGUGUAUCUGGUUUGAUGUGGAGGUCCUUGAUCCACUUGGACUUAAGCUUUGUACAGGGUGAUAAGAAUGGAUUGAUUUGCAUUCUUCUACAUGCUGACCUCCAGUUGAACCAGCACCAUUUUUUGAAAAUGCUAUCUUUCUUCCGUUGGAUGUUUUUACCUCCUUUGUCAAAGAUCAAGUGACCAUAGGUGUGUGGGUUCAUUUCUGUGUCUUAAAUUCUGUUCCACUGAUCUACCUGUCUGUCUCUGUCCCAAUACCAUACAGUUUUUAUAACUAUUGCUCUGUAAUACUGCUUGAAAUCAUGGAUGGUGAUUCCCCCAGAAGUUCUUUUAUUGUUGAGUAUAGUUUUUGCUAUCCUGGGUUUUUUCUUAUUCCAAAUGAAUUUGCAAAUUGUUCUUUCUAUAUGUAUGUUGGAGCAUCUUUUGGGUAUAUACCCAGGAGAUUCUAUAAAGAAUUGAGUAGGAAUUUUGAUGGGGAUUGCAUUGAAUCUGUAGAUUGCUUUUGGCAAAAUGGCCGUUUAUACUAUAUCAAUCCUGCCAAGCCAUGAGCAUGGGAGAUCUUUCCAUCUUCUGAGAUCUUCCUCAAUUUCUUUCUUCAGAGACUUGAAGUUCUUGUCAUACAGAUCUUUCACUUGCUUGGUUAAUGUCACACCAAGAUAUUGUGUAUUAUUUGAGACUAUUCUGAAGGGUGUCAUUUCCCUAAUUUCUUUCUCAGGCUGUUUAUCCUUUGAGUAGAGGAAGGCUACUGAUUUGUUUGAGUUAAUUUUAUACCUCGACACUUUGCUGAAGUUGUUUAUCAGGUUAAGUAGUUCUCUGGUGGAACUUUUGGGGUCACUUAAGUACACUAUCAUAUCAUCUGCCAAUAGUAAUAAUUUGAUUUCUUCCCUUCCAAUUUGUAUUCCUUUGACCUCCUUUUGUUGUCUGAUUGCUCUGGCUAGGACUUUGAGUACUAUAUUGAAUAAGAAGGGAGAGAGUGAGAAGCCUAGUCCCUGAUUUUAGUGGGUUUGUUUCAAGUUUCUCUCCAUUUAGUUUGAUGUUAGCUACUGGUUUGCUGUAUAUUGCUUUUACUAUGUUUAGGUAUGGGCCUUGAAUUCCUAAUCUUUCCAGGACUUUUAUCAUAAAGGGGUGUUGAAUUUUGUCAAAUGCUUUCUCAGCAUCUAAUGAAAUGAUCAUGUGGUUCUUUUUUUUUUUUUUUUUUUUUGGUUCUUUUUUUCGGAGCUGGGGACCGAACCCAGGGCCUUGCGCUUCCUAGGUAAGCGCUCUACCACUGAGCUAAAUCCCCAGCCCCGAUCAUGUGGUUCUUAUGUUUGCAUUUGUUUAUAUAGUGGAUUAUGUUGAUGGAUUUCCAUGUAUUAAACCAUCCCUGCAUCCCUAGGAUGAAGCCUACUUGAUCAUAAUGGAUUAUCAUUUUGAUGUGUUCUUAGAUUCGGUUUGUAAUAAUUUCAUUGAGUAUUUUUGUGUCACUAUUCAUAAGGAAAAUUGGUCUGAAGUUCUCUUUGUUGGGUUUUUGUGUGGUUUCAGUAUAAGAGUAAUUGUGGCUUCAUAGAAAGAAUUUGGUAGUGCUCUGCUUCUAUUUUGUGGAAUAGUUUGGACAGUAUUGGUAUGAGGUCUUCUACGAAGGUCUGAUAGAAUUCUGCACUAAACCCAUCUGGUCCUGGGCUCUUUUUGGUUGGGAGACUUUUAAUAAAUGUUUCUAUUUCUUUAGGAGUUAUGGGGUUGUUUAGAUGGUUUAUUUGUUCCUGAUUUAACUUUGGUACCUGGUAUCUGUCUAGAAAAUUAUCCAUUUCCUCCAGAUUUUCCACUUUUGUUGAAUAUAGGCUUUUGUAGUAGGAUCUGAUGGUGUUUUUUUUUUUAAAUUUUCUCAGAUUCUGUUGUUAUUUCUCCAUUUUCAUUUCUGAUUUUGUUAGUUUGGAUACACUAUCUGUGACCUCUGGUUAGUCUGUCUAAGGGUUUAUCUAUCUCGUUGACUUUCUCAAAGAACCAGCUCC
Molecule: long non-coding RNA, 20832 nt
Organism: Rattus norvegicus (Norway rat)
Lineage: Eukaryota; Metazoa; Chordata; Mammalia; Rodentia; Muridae
Source: RefSeq, a predicted model, not a curated record